GGUGGAUGCCUUGGCAGUUAGAGGCGAUGAAGGACGUGUUAAUCUGCGAUAAGCGUUGGUAAGGUGAUAAAAACCGUCAUAGCCAACGAUUUCCGAAUGGGGAAACCCACUUAGCAUAAGCUAGGUAUCAUUAACUGAAUACAUAGGUUAAUGAGGCAAACCGGGAGAACUGAAACAUCUAAGUACCCCGAGGAAAAGAAAUCAACCGAGAUUUCGUUAGUAGCGGCGAGCGAACGCGAAUCAGCCCUUAAGCUUAUUGGGCGCUAGUGGAAUGUUCUGGAAAGGACAACGAUACAGGGUGAUAGUCCCGUACACUAAAGCAACCUUUAAGUGAAAUCGAGUAGGACGGAGCACGUGAAACUUUGUCUGAAUAUGGGGGGACCAUCCUCCAAGGCUAAAUACUACCAAUUGACCGAUAGUGAACCAGUACCGUGAGGGAAAGGCGAAAAGAACCCCGUAGAGGGGAGUGAAAUAGAUCCUGAAACCGUAUACGUACAAGCAGUAGGAGCAGACUUGUUCUGUGACUGCGUACCUUUUGUAUAAUGGGUCAGCGACUUAAUGUCAGUAGCAAGGUUAACCGUAUAGGGGAGCCGAAGGGAAACCGAGUCUUAACCGGGCGUUAAGUUGCAGGGUAUAGACCCGAAACCCGGCGAUCUACCCAUGGGCAGGUUGAAGGUUGAGUAACAUCAACUGGAGGACCGAACCCACUAACUUUGAAAAGUUAGGGGAUGACCUGUGGCUGGGGGUGAAAGGCCAAUCAAACCGGGAGAUAGCUGGUUCUCCCCGAAAUCUAUUUAGGUAGAGCCUCGCACGAACACCAUUGGGGGUAGAGCACUGUUAAGGCUAGGGGGUCAUCCCGACUUACCAACCCUUUGCAAACUCCGAAUACCAGUGAGUGAUAUCCGGGAGACACACUGUGGGUGCUAACGUCCAUUGUGAAGAGGGAAACAACCCAGACCGCCAGCUAAGGUCCCAAAAUAUUGCUAAGUGGGAAACGAUGUGGGAAGGCAUAGACAGCUAGGAGGUUGGCUUAGAAGCAGCCAUCCUUUAAAGAAAGCGUAAUAGCUCACUAGUCGAGUCGGCCUGCGCGGAAGAUGUAACGGGGCUAAACUAGUCACCGAAGCUGCGGAUUUGAACUUAGGUUCAAGUGGUAGGGGAGCGUUCUGUAAGCCGUUGAAGGUGAAUUGAGAAGUUUGCUGGAGGUAUCAGAAGUGCGAAUGCUGACAUGAGUAACGAUAA
Molecule: ribosomal RNA, 1239 nt
Filed under: Euplotes focardii
Lineage: Eukaryota; Ciliophora; Spirotrichea; Euplotida; Euplotidae
Description: partial Bacterial large subunit ribosomal RNA
Rfam family: Bacterial large subunit ribosomal RNA
Source: RNAcentral